CAUUUUGCUGCACACACAUACAUUGCUACUUCUUAAUCAUAUGAAGUCAGGUAUCCCCUGAAAAAGUCCCACAACAAUUGGGCAUUAGUUUGGAUUAGGUUAACACUCCUUCCUUCUUUGGCUUCCUUGACAUUCUUACUAUCAACCUUGGGGAACAUACUUAGGUUUUAUUGUGUGUUCUGCCAACUAAGAGACAUCUCUGCCUAUUAUCCUUAGGUUUGGUUGCCAAGAAGGUUAAAUUCAAGAAGUGGGAACGGUGCCCACAAUAUGCCUUUUAUUAGAAAUCAGGUUCAAAUCAGUUUCAAUUAUUUUGAUUAUUAUACUUUGUGUAAUAAGUGAGGUUGUGCUGAGGGAAUGAUGUAAAGUCUAAGCACUUAAACUGUGUGCACGAACUAAAAAAAUUCUGUAUCCAUUUGCCAGAGACCAAGUUUGCAUUUCACUUCCAAAACAUGCACACAUGCCACCUAUCAUAGGAUGAGAAACUUGUACUUGGCUGCUAAUUAUGCCCCCAAAAAAUCAAAUUUUCAGGGAAUUGACCUAAAAAAUACAACCAUGAAAAAAUACUCGAAAUUCUGAGUACUAGAACAGGAUUCAUCUAAUAUUAAGUUCUUUUGUUUUCAUAUUGAACUAAAAAAUCACGUCGAAUACUUGAAUAGUACAAAUGGUAUACUAUUUUACACUUAAUUUUUUUUUGUUGGCUUUUUUAAUGUCAAUAGUUUUCUUUAAAAAAAAUAUUUUAGUUGACAAUGGACCUUUAUUUUUUUAUUUACUUUUUUUAGUUAUAGUUGGACACAAUACCUGAUUUUAUUUAUUUUUAUGUGGUGCUGAGGAUCGAACCCAGGGCCUCCCGUGUGCUAGAUGAGCACUCUACCGCUGAACCACAACCCCAGCCCUACACUUAAAAAUUUAAAGUGUUUAGAAUAACAUGAUGGGGGGAAUAGAAAAAAGGACUGGGUAAUUUGUAGAAGACAGAGAUUAAAACAGUGGAGUAUGGGAGAAAGGGAAUCACAGUACUAUCACUUUCUCCUUACCUGAAUACUUUGGAUAGAGGGUAGCUUUUCCCCUGGAAGGACAAUUUCGUAUAUUUUUAGAUGUUUUUCCAGAAGUAAGGGUAUGUUUGGGGAGUCUAAGUGCAUUAUCUCUUGCAAAAGGUUAGUCCAGCCACCUUAGAGAAUAAAGUACUUGCCCACAGGAAUUAAAUUCUUCUUUGAUGCCAAUUGACAAAUGACAUGAAAAAUUUGUUUUGGUCUAUAGAUCAUUCUGACAUGACGCUCUUAAAAGAUUCAUAGAUUAAAAAUGUUGUUCACUGCUACAGUUAAUAUUCAGAAAAUCUCAGACCACACUUGACUUUAUUGCCAUGGGAGUAUUUUAAGAUGGCUGGAAAUGACACUCUCUUGAAAAAUAACUGUUCUUAACUAUUGCAGUAUUGUAGUCAAAUCUUGAAAUAUUGUAUAAUUGAUCUUUUUCUUUUCUUUUUUUUUUGGAACUUAGGAUUGUACUUGGGGCACUUGGCCACAUCCCUCGCCUUAUUUUGUAUUUUAUUUAGAGACAGGAUCUCACUGAGUUGCUUAGCGCCUCGCUUUUGCUGAGGUUGGCUUUGAACUCCUCCUGCCUCAACCUCCUAAGCCACUGGGAUUAUAGGCGUGCACCAUUGCACCUGGCUAUUAUAUGUUCUUUCCAAAAUAAUUUGAGGAAGCUCUGUGGUAGCCACUGUUGAUAUAGAGAUCUGUGUGUCACUUUAUGUCUGCUUAACUCAAUAUUCUCAUCUUUGGGCUGGGAUUGUGGCUCAGAGGUAGAGUGCUCACCUAGCUUGCACAAGGCACUGGGUUCGAUCCUCAGCACUAUGUAAAUGUAAAAUAAAGAUAUUGUGUUCACCUAAAACUUAAG
Molecule: long non-coding RNA, 1887 nt
Filed under: Marmota monax (woodchuck)
Lineage: Eukaryota; Metazoa; Chordata; Mammalia; Rodentia; Sciuridae
Source: RNAcentral